UCCUGUAUGCAGUAUGGUAGGUCCAUAAUAAAUCAUCUAAUCAUCCAGACCAAUAUUUUUGAUUAGGCCUAACUGUCUUCUAAAGAAUUCAUUUGAUCUUCCUAUUGGAGAUUUUCACUUGGCCACUAGUCUGAAGGUGGUUGUUGGAAAAUAUAGAUGAUUUCAUGCAUGUAUUUCGAUAUUUUUUUAAAUAAAUUACAGUGAAAAAGUAAAUAGAUCAAUCAAAUUAAUCUAACAUGCAUAUGAUCUAAUCAUCAAAUCAACCUACUCUAGGA
RNAcentral lists this long non-coding RNA (275 nucleotides) under Elaeis guineensis (African oil palm). RNAcentral's name for it is "long non-coding RNA (EGUI_LNC028151)". The record is from RNAcentral. Lineage: Eukaryota; Viridiplantae; Streptophyta; Magnoliopsida; Arecales; Arecaceae.